CCUACGGGAGGCAGCAGUGAGGAAUAUUGGUCAAUGGACGAGAGUCUGAACCAGCCAAGUAGCGUGAAGGAUGACUGCCCUAUGGGUUGUAAACUUCUUUUAUAUGGGAAUAAAAUGUUCCACGUGUGGGAUUUUGUAUGUACCAUAUGAAUAAGGAUCGGCUAACUCCGUGCCAGCAGCCGCGGUAAUACGGAUGAUCCGAGCGUUAUCCGGAUUUAUUGGGUUUAAUGGGGGCGUAGGUGGGUUGUUAAGUCAGUUGUGAAAGUUUGCGGCUCAACCGUAAAAUUGCAGUUGAAACUGGCAGUCUUGAGUACAGUAGAGGUGGGCGGAAUUCGUGGUGUAGCGGUGAAAUGCUUAGAUAGCACGAAGAACUCCGAUUGCGAAGGCAGUUCACUGGACUGCAACUGACACUGAGGCUCGAAAGUGUGGGUAUCAAACAGGAUUAGAUACCCCUGUAGUC
Molecule: ribosomal RNA, 460 nt
Filed under: uncultured bacterium
Lineage: Bacteria
Description: partial 16S ribosomal RNA
Rfam family: Bacterial small subunit ribosomal RNA
Source: RNAcentral